RNAcentral lists this ribosomal RNA (253 nucleotides) under uncultured bacterium. Its description in RNAcentral is "partial 16S ribosomal RNA". It matches the Rfam family "Bacterial small subunit ribosomal RNA", at positions 524 to 776 of the family's 1533-position model. The record is from RNAcentral.
UACGAAGGGGGCUAGCGUUGAUCGGAAUUACUGGGCGUAAAGCGCGCGUAGGUGGUUCAGUAAGUUGGAAGUGAAAUCCCCGGGCUCAACCUGGGAACUGCUUUCAAAACUGCUGAGCUAGAGUACGGUAGAGGGUGGUGGAAUUUCCUGUGUAGCGGUGAAAUGCGUAGAUAUAGGAAGGAACACCAGUGGCGAAGGCGACCACCUGGACUGAUACUGACACUGAGGUGCGAAAGCGUGGGGAGCAAACAGG